Long non-coding RNA from Homo sapiens (human), 1766 nucleotides. NCBI's taxonomy places the organism in Eukaryota, Metazoa, Chordata, Mammalia, Primates, Hominidae. The record is from Ensembl.
GGAGUGCAGUGGCGCAAUCCCAGCUCACUGCAAGCUCCGCCUCCCGGGUUCACGCUGUUUUCCUGCCUCAGCCUCCAGAGUAGCUGGGACUACAGGUGCCCGCUACCAUGCCUGGCUAAUUUUUUUGCAUUUUCGUAGAGACGGGGUUUCACUGUGUUAGCCAGGAUGGUCUUGAUCUCCUGACCUCGUGAUCCGCCUGCCUUGGCCUCCCAAAGUGUUGGGAUUACAGGUGUGAGCCACCGCGCCCGGUCGAGUUUUCUUCUUUAAUCUGGUGUUGAUCCUGAGAGUGCUUUGUUAAAAAACAUUCUCCAUGCUGACCUCCGUUUUCGAGUCCGCUUCCUGGGGAAACCUGAAACAGGACUUGAUGCUAGCAGCUGCCCAGAAGAACCAGAUGGGCCACUGUCCUUGCCAGAAGAUCUGAUAUCCUGUGUAUGGCCACCACCUAACACUGCUCACUUCUACAUGUAAACCUCAGGAUGGUAGAGUGCAGCCCCAAGUCUGUAUGCUACCACUUAUUCCAGCAGUCCCUAAUCUUUUUGGCACCAGUGACUGGUUUUGUGGAAGACAAUUUUUCCAUGGACCUGGGAGUGGGGGAUGGUUUCUGGAUGAUUCAAGUGCAUUACAUUUAUUGUGGACUUUAUUUCUAUUAUUACAUUAUAAUAUAUAAUGAAAUAACAAUACAAUUCACCAUAAUGUAGAAUCAGUGGGACCCCUGAGCUUGUUUUCCUGCAACCAGAUGGGACCAUCUGGGAGUGAUGGGAGACAGUGACAGAUCAUCAGGCUUUAGAUUCUCAGGAGCUGGCAACCUAGAUCCCUUGCAUGUGCAGUUCACAAUAGGGUUUAUUCUCCUAUGAGAAUCUAAUGCCACAGCUGAUCUGACAGGAGGCGGAGCUCAGGUGGUAAUGUGAGCAAUGGGGAGCAGUGUCCUGCUGUGUGGCCCAGUUCCUAGCAGGCCACGGACCAGUACCAGUAUGUGGCCUGGGGGUUGGGAACCCCUGAGUUAUUCAGUUCCACUAGAAAGCAAGAAUGGCUUUAUUCUAAUAAUUUCAGCAAAAGUUCCCGGCUAUCAUGAGAUCAACUUGGUUCAUAUGCCUGUUCCUGAAACUUACCACUAUAGACUGAAUAGGCUGAUGGCAGUCACAUGUUUACUGCUGGAAAUAGGAAGGACUGCAUGUGAUGUGAAGUGUACAAAGCCCCAGCUGACAAGGCAGUGCAACCCUGGCUAUUUUCUGGGCAAGGCUGGUGCUCUGGUGCUGGACUUCAUUUGCCUGAAGGAAGCAGUGCAUUUUUCUAACUUGUGUGAAGACAUUGUAUGGACUAGCUGUGGCCCUGGAGCCAUGUAUGUGGAUGGGGUCGGCCUCACUGAACCACUGAGACUGUGAGUGGGAGAGGGAUAGUCCUCUGAAUGAAAAUUAGGUUCACCUUCUAUAAGGGAGAAUGGAUGCGCAAGCAGAACUAUUGGAUAUACAUUACAGAAAGUAAUGCCAUUACUGUAAUUCUGAAUCUUGCCUUGUAGAGCAACUCGACUCUUUAAGUCUACUCAACUCAGCUCAACGCAAUCCAACAAUUAUUUUUUAUAGGCCAAAGUGUGUGUGUGUGUGUGUUUGCACACACACCUGUGUGCUGGGUAGGGAGGUGUUACCAAAAGAAAAGACCUACCUUCAAAAAGCAUAAAGUAUUCUGAUUUUAAGCCACGCCAACUAUGAAAGUUUUUCUUAAAUUCGACUCUGUUAUACCAAAUAAAUUAAAAAUUAUGCAAAAUUAAA